This 464-nucleotide ribosomal RNA is filed under the name uncultured bacterium. RNAcentral's name for it is "partial 16S ribosomal RNA". It matches the Rfam family "Bacterial small subunit ribosomal RNA", at positions 28 to 507 of the family's 1533-position model. The record is from RNAcentral.
GAUGAACGCUGGCGGCGUGCUUAACACAUGCAAGUCGAACGGAAAGGCUCCUGCUUGCAGGGGUACUCGAGUGGCGAACGGGUGAGUAACACGUGGGUGAUCUGCCCUGCACUUCGGGAUAAGCCUGGGAAACUGGGUCUAAUACCGGAUAGGACGAUGGUUUGGGUGCCAUUGUGGAAAGUUUUUCGGUGUGGGAUGAGCUCGCGCCUAUCAGCUUGUUGGUGGGGUAAUGGCCUACCAAGGCGUCGACGGGUAGCCGGCCUGAGAGGGUGUACGGCCACAUUGGGACUGAGAUACGGCCCAGACUCCUACGGGAGGCAGCAGUGGGGAAUAUUGCACAAUGGGCGCAAGCCUGAUGCAGCGACGCCGCGUGGGGGAUGACGGCCUUCGGGUUGUAAACUCCUUUCGCUAGGGACGAAGCGCAAGUGACGGUACCUGGAGAAGAAGCACCGGCUAACUACGUG